This 223-nucleotide long non-coding RNA is filed under the name Phaseolus vulgaris (common bean). RNAcentral's name for it is "long non-coding RNA (PVUL_LNC001547)". Lineage: Eukaryota; Viridiplantae; Streptophyta; Magnoliopsida; Fabales; Fabaceae. The record is from RNAcentral.
CCAACUUCAUCACCAAAGGAAGAGCUUUGCCCAUUCGAAUUAUCAAGAUCCGGCUACCAAAGUAAGAAAGAUUUUGAAUAACAAAGAGGAGAGCGGUCUACAAGAGUAAGCGAAUGGUUAAUUCACUCAAGUCUUUCUUGGAAGUGGAAAACCAAAAGAUGCUAUGCUGCCUACCCCUACCAAAGAACGGUGGGCGAGCAAGCGAAGCCCCAGGUUCAGAAAG